UACGUAGGGUGCAAGCGUUAAUCGGAAUUACUGGGCGUAAAGCGUGCGCAGGCGGUUUUGUAAGUCUGUCGUGAAAUCCCCGGGCUCAACCUGGGAAUGGCGAUGGAGACUGCAAGGCUAGAGUUUGGCAGAGGGGGGGUAGAAUUCCACGUGUAGCAGUGAAAUGCGUAGAGAUGUGGAGGAACACCGAUGGCGAAGGCAGCCCCCCUGGGUCAAGAUUGACGCUCAUGCACGAAAGCGUGGGGAGCAAACCGG
Molecule: ribosomal RNA, 255 nt
Filed under: uncultured bacterium
Lineage: Bacteria
Description: partial 16S ribosomal RNA
Rfam family: Bacterial small subunit ribosomal RNA
Source: RNAcentral